Molecule: RNA transcript, 3311 nt
Organism: Strigops habroptila (Kakapo)
Lineage: Eukaryota; Metazoa; Chordata; Aves; Psittaciformes; Psittacidae
Gene: EFHC2
Gene name: EF-hand domain containing 2
Exons: 16
Source: RefSeq, a predicted model, not a curated record
GGUGCGGGCCGGGCGGGGAGCGGGUUUGUCGCGGGGCUCCCGGCGGGCCGGGGCGGCCAUGGCGCUGCCGCUCCUGCCCGGGGUCUCCCGCGACCGGAACAUAGGGGAAGAAAAGUUCCACAAGUCACAGCACUGGGGUUUCUGCAAUAAUGUUGCUAUGCUGGUUGAUGAAAAUAAACCUGGAGUUGGAGGUAAACCACUACCUGGUCAGAAGCUGACACCUAAAUACAGUGUGUUUCCUGAAGGGAUGGGAAGUGAUGCUCCUGCUUGGGUAGCAUUUGACAAGCAGGUAUUGUCUUUUGAUGCCUAUUUUGACGAAGAAGUGCCUGACAAAAAUCAAGAGCUAUAUAGAAUCAGACACUGCAAAAUAUACUUCUACCUUGAAGAUGAUACAAUUCAAGUGAUUGAACCUCAAGUGAAAAAUAGUGGCAUACCUCAAGGAACUAUUGUUCGACGGCAUCGGAUUCCACUUCCACCUCCUUAUGAAAAUCAGUUCUAUACUAUAGAUCACUUCAAUAUCAACAUAGAAGUAACCUUUUAUGCCCGAAAAUAUAAGAUCACUGAUUGUGACCGGUUUACAAAAAAUUUCCUGAGGAAAAUGGGAGUUAGAUUAAAUCCUCCUGCAAGUCGUCCAGAUGAUCCGUACACCCAAGAGAGGCAAAAGAUUCUGGAUAGUAUGACACCAUUUCGCCCUUAUGAGCGUAUUGACACUUUGAAACAAUUUCUAGAGCAUGAUGGACAUGUUUUACGUUUUUUCUGUGUGUGGAAUGACCCAGAAUCCAUGUUUCAUGACCCACGAGAACUUGUUCUGCACUAUUAUUUGUCUGAUGAUACUAUUGAUAUAAGAGAAAUUGUACCAGUAAACUCAGGCCGGGAUGCAAUUCCACUUUUCCUCAGAAGAGAUAAGCUUCCAAAGCAUGCUCCCGUCGGGCUGUAUCAGCCGGGUACAAUCACCGAUCGCACAGUUCUCAAUGUGCUUGGGAAUUCAGCAGGAAACAAAGGCCGUUACAUACUGGACAAUCGUAAGACAGGAGCAGUGCAUCAGGAAUUUUACAAAGACAGUGACCUGAAAAUAGGGGCAGUAAUUAAUGUGUGGGGAAGGAAGAUAAUUCUCUGUGAUUGUGAUGAAUUCACUAAAGAAUAUUACAGGACAAAGUACGGAAUCGAGGAUUUCACCCCAGUUCCAUAUAAGGUUCCACCACCUCCAAAACCAGAAAAAACAUUUCCUCCUUAUAAUGGAUUUGGUUCUGAAGAGGAUUCUCUGUGCUCCUGUAUGGGUCUAAUUCUCAAGCCUCCCGCAAAAGAUUUCAAGAAAUUCAUGGAGAAAGACAGAAUUGGCAUGGAAAGUAACAUACUGCGCUUUCUUGCAAAACUCAUCACAGAUAGUCCUAUUGACAAGGAUAGGAAAUUAAUCAUUUCCUACUUUCUGAGUGAUGACACCAUUUCAGUUUUUGAACAUGCACAGCGAAACUCAGGGAUACUUGGUGGGAAGUUCUUGGAAAGAGGUCGCAUUAAGAAGCCUGGGCAGGAGCUCUUUAAGAGUGAGCCAUCUGAAUACUUCAAGGCUCAGGAUCUGUUUGUUGGAGCCAGAGUUUGUUUCCAUGGUCACAACUUUCUUUUGGUGGAUGCCGAUGAGUACACACUGAACUACAUGGAGAAGCAUGCAAAUGAGUUCUCUGUGGCUGAUGUUGGUGUCAUCCUCAAGAAACUGAAAGGUAUAACCGAACCUCGUUCCCGAGAAAUCAGACAGUUGUUUGCAGCCACUGACCCAGACCAUAACAAGGUGAUUGAGUAUGAUGCUUUCAGAAAUUUGAUAGUCAGUAUCACUGAUGGAGCGUUUUCAGACCAUGAAAUGAUGACUCUUGGGCGCUAUUACGGUGUGAAAGAUGAAUAUGAAAUGGACGUCCACUACCUCCUUGCAGUGGCUCAAGAACAACUAAAGAAAAAUAGGUUUGAGAAUUUCGAGCAACUAACUGCAGUGCUUCUAUACAAUGACCGUGAAAAAAGUGGAGUGCUGCCCCAUGAGAUGUGCAGGACUAUUUGCAAGUCCUUUAAGUUGCCACUGGCUCAUGAUGAUCUGCAAGCUUUAUUGACCAUACAUAAAGAACAAUGCCAUAAACCAACUACUGAAUGACAAGGUUUGAAGAUGACAAUAAGCAAGUGGAAUAUAAAAAGUUUGUGGAUGGGCUGAACUGGAGAGAGAAUCCAAUCCCUGUUUUCCAGACAAUAAAGGACAGCUUAUCUAGUCAUUGAACAUGACCCGAUUUCUGGGAGGUGAGGGAAAGCGACAGCUCCUACAAGUUGAAGGUGGGGUACAGGUGGUGGUAGAACCAAGAGGCAGCCUUCAUGAGGUGAAGAUGUGGAGGAAAAUGUUCUUGUGAAACAAGCAGGAGGUUGAAGUGGACAUUUGUGGUGAAACGUAUGUCUUGGUCAGCAUAAGAGAUGAGGUUUUGUUUGGGUGUGAAGAAGACGUUAUCUUUGCUUGGAGGACAGCCAGUGGAUGGGCUGAUGUCUAAGAGCCCCUGUUGACAAUGGUGCUUGGAGUUAUGGGAGGAAGAUUACAGCCAAAAUAAAAAAGAAAGAAAGAGCAUCCAUAGAAAUUAUCACCAGUCAUCAUCAUGCUGGGAUAAUCAGUUCCUCAUCUGCUCCAAAGCCUUGCUGUAACUGUCACACUGACAUACAGCACUGUUUUUAAUUAAGUAUCCAAAUUGGUGCCAGUGUAGUUUACUGAGUUUUACUGGCUAUUAUUUUGUUUAUCUGCAAUACCUCUUCUGUCUUUGGCACGGUUCAAGAGUAUUAUAAUGAAGAGAUAAUAGGAAAUAGAAAAAUCAGAGAAAGGAAGGGAUUUAGAUCUUGUUUUACUUUGGAAUCCAAUUGUCGUUCUGUUCAUGACUUACCAUGAAUUAACAGCAACAUUUUGGGGCUGCAGUGGCUGUAUUUGACAGAUUUCAACGACAGGGUUGUGCUUGUUUAGCAGACUUUUGUCUUCUUUCCCUUUAUCUCAUUAUUUUGUAUGAGUUUUGGUGUUGAGACAUAGAUGACUUCCAAUACUUUGAAGUAUAAAUGCCUCAGUGAAGAAAAUACAGCAUUAUUUAAUUUGAAAAUACCUGCAGAAGGGCUAAUAAGAGAAAAUAUUUUAAAUAAAAUAUUCUCCAAGAUUGAUAAAAAUGUGCAUGUAGUAAUCUUUUAAGAGGAUGUGUUACAUAAAGAUUCACUUUUUCAAAGAUUUAUUAUAUGGAAAUGAAGCAGUUCAUUCAAUCUUAUGUUGACCAGCUUUUAAUUAUUCUUGUUUUCAAUAUUGUAUUCUAAGU